GUUGGACUCAGUAAAUGGCUGUGCAUAUGUCCAGCAUCAAAUCACAAUGAUAUUGCCUCUCCUUACGCAUAACUGCCCCUCAAGGUGCUAUUGUUAUGUGAUUGGUAAUAUGGCAUACUUCUGAAGCCUGCUGAGACCUGAAGAAAAUUCUAGGUCUCUCCUCACCUUUGAGAAAUAUAAAACCCUAAUAAAUCAAAAUUCAGGAAAAAUGGGACUGAUCCUCUACAUUUUGACAUAAAAGGUAGCUGUGCAUUGUGUAAUGGACGUGUAGGCUAACUAUACCCCAUAAGGUGUUGAUGCUGGAAACAGGGAGGCAACAGCCCGGCUGACUCUAUCUUGAGGCUGAUCAGGAUCUGAGCUUGUGAGGAUGGAGGUGUUCCCUGGGACUGGAAAAUGCCGUCAGGUCAAGUCUGACUCAGGCUCAGAGACUGAAUGCUUACAAGUGCAGAGACUGAAUGCUUAUGGGGCAAUAAAACCUGGGGAAAAAAAGCAGUGAGGAAGUCACAUACCAAGAUAUGACUAAGUAAAGGUUUGCGGCAGAAGCAAGGUGGCAAGGCUGUGAAUAACUGGCUCACCACUCAGGCCCGUGCAAGCAGCAGCAGGAAGAUGACUUCAUCUCCUCCUCCCCUAUGCCAGUGACCUGCAGCUCUGGAUUGCAUAUAGCAGCUGCUAAUGCUGGAGGAGCUGCCUGUCCCAGUGGCAACAGUGGCAACAGCAGCAGCUAGGGCAGACUUCCCAGGCUCUACCCUCUUUCUCUGACAUUCAUCAGAUAACAAAGAAGGUCACCCUCCUUGGCGUAGUUCACCUCCAAAUAGGAAACAAUCACUGAUUUUAUAGCAGAACUCGUGAUCAGUUUGUAGCAAAAUGUGAGAUGCAGAGCAAAACCUUUAAACCCAUUUUAAAAAUACUUUUACCAUUCCCUUUUAUAGUAUCAUCACUCAUGGCUUAAGCAGUAAGAAAAUAGAAGGCUCACAACUUUAGCUGUCUGAAACAAGAAACGGGGAACAAGAAAAAAGAUCAAACAUUCCUUUUCAGCCGUCAUUCGAGCAAGCCUCAUGGUCUGCCUGCCUUGCGUAUUUGAGCCACACAGGGCUGAUUCAGCAGAAAGCUAGCACAAUGUGCAUGACAUAUCCUCAGCCACAGAAACACGUGAAAAUGCCCUUUAGCACCAGGGGAGAGAUUUCAUGGAACUGCUGAUGGUUUGAGGUGGGAAGGGGCCUCCGGAGGCCACCAUGUCCAAGCUCCCUGCUCAAGCAGGGACACCUGGAGCUGCUUGCCCAGGACCAUGUCCAGACAGCUUUUGAAGAUCUUCAAGGAGGAGGCUCCACAACCUCUCUGGGCAGCCUGUGCCAAUGCUUUGUCACCUGCACAGUGAAAAAGUGUUUCCUGAUGUUCAGAGGAACCUUCUUUGCUCCACUUUGUGCCCAUUGCCUCUUGUCCUGGCACUGGGCACCACUGACAAGAGCCUGGCUCCAUCCUCUUUGCACCCUCCUUUCAAGUAUUUACAGAUAUUGAUGAGAUCCCCUUGGAGG
Molecule: long non-coding RNA, 1532 nt
Organism: Cygnus atratus (black swan)
Lineage: Eukaryota; Metazoa; Chordata; Aves; Anseriformes; Anatidae
Exons: 5
Source: RefSeq, a predicted model, not a curated record